RNAcentral lists this ribosomal RNA (478 nucleotides) under uncultured bacterium. Its description in RNAcentral is "partial 16S ribosomal RNA". It matches the Rfam family "Bacterial small subunit ribosomal RNA", at positions 28 to 523 of the family's 1533-position model. The record is from RNAcentral.
GACGAACGCUGGCAGCGUGCUUAACACAUGCAAGUCGAACGGUAAGGCCCUUCGGGGUACACGAGUGGCGAACGGGUGAGUAACACGUGGGUGAUCUGCCCUGCACUUCGGGAUAAGCCUGGGAAACUGGGUCUAAUACCGGAUAGGACCCUGGGAUGCAUGUCCUGGGGUGGAAAGCUUUUGCGGUGUGGGAUGGGCCCGCGGCCUAUCAGCUUGUUGGUGGGGUGAUGGCCUACCAAGGCGACGACGGGUAGCCGGCCUGAGAGGGUGACCGGCCACACUGGGACUGAGAUAGGGCCCAGACUCCUACGGGAGGCAGCAGUGGGGAAUAUUGCACAAUGGGCGCAAGCCUGAUGCAGCGACGCCGCGUGAGGGAUGACGGCCUUCGGGUUGUAAACCUCUUUCAGCACCGACGGAGCGCAAGUGACGGUAGGUGCAGAAGAAGGACCGGCCAACUACGUGCCAGCCGCCGCCGUAA